CUGUGAGCGUGCGGGCGAUACGGGCAGACUUGAGUACUGCAGGGGAGACUGGAAUUCCUGGUGUAGCGGUGGAAUGCGCAGAUAUCAGGAGGAACACCGGUGGCGAAGGCGGGUCUCUGGGCAGUAACUGACGCUGAGGAGCGAAAGCGUGGGGAGCGAACAGGAUUAGAUACCCUGGUAGUCCACGCCGUAAACGGUGGGUACUAGGUGUGGGUUUCCUUCCUUGGGAUCCGUGCACGUAGACUACGCAUUCAGUACCCCGACUGGGGAGUACGGCCGCAAUGCUAAAACUCAGAGAAAUUGACGGGGGCCCGCACAAGCGGCGGAGCAUGUGGAUUAAUUCGAUGCAACGCGAAGAACCUUACUUGGGUUUGACAUGCACAGGACGCCGGCAGAGAUGUCGGUUCCCUUGUGGCCUGUGUGCAGGUGGUGCAUGGCUGUCGUCAGCUCGUGUCGUGAGAUGUUGGGUUAAGUCCCGCAACGAGCGCAACCCUGGUCUCAUGUUGCCAGCGGGUAAUGCCGGGGACUCGUGAGAGACUGCCGGGGUCAACUCGGAGGAAGGUGGGGAUGACGUCAAGUCAUCAUGCCCCUUAUGUCCAGGGCUUCACACAUGCUACAAUGGCCGG
This 626-nucleotide ribosomal RNA is filed under the name uncultured bacterium. RNAcentral describes it as "bacterial SSU rRNA". It matches the Rfam family "Bacterial small subunit ribosomal RNA", at positions 613 to 1237 of the family's 1533-position model. The record is from RNAcentral.